RNAcentral lists this signal recognition particle RNA (298 nucleotides) under Cebus imitator (Panamanian white-faced capuchin). RNAcentral's name for it is "Metazoan signal recognition particle RNA (ENSCCAG00000004021.1)". It matches the Rfam family "Metazoan signal recognition particle RNA". Rfam says of the family: The signal recognition particle (SRP) is a universally conserved ribonucleoprotein. It is involved in the co-translational targeting of proteins to membranes. The record is from RNAcentral. Lineage: Eukaryota; Metazoa; Chordata; Mammalia; Primates; Cebidae.
GCCAGGCGCAGUGGCGCAUGCCUGUAGUCCCAGCUACUCGGGAGGCUGAGGUGGGAGGAUCGCUUGAGCCCAGGAGUUCUGGGCUGUAGUGGCUAUACCGACGAGGUGUCCACACUAAGUUCGGCAUCAGUAUGAUGACCUCCUGGGAGUGGGGGACCACCAGGUUGCCUAAGGACGGGUGAAUCGGCCCAGGUCAGAAACAGAGCAGGUCAAAACUCCCAUGCUGAUCAGUAGGGGAAUCGCGCCUGUGAACAGCCACUGCACUCCAGCCUGGGCGACAGAGUGAGAUUCCAUCUCA